RNAcentral lists this ribosomal RNA (590 nucleotides) under Naganishia albidosimilis. Its description in RNAcentral is "eukaryotic LSU rRNA". It matches the Rfam family "Eukaryotic large subunit ribosomal RNA", at positions 33 to 627 of the family's 3401-position model. The record is from RNAcentral. Lineage: Eukaryota; Fungi; Basidiomycota; Tremellomycetes; Filobasidiales; Filobasidiaceae.
GUUUUGCAUAUCAUAAGCGGAGGGAAAAGAAACUAACAAGGAUUCCCCUAGUAACGGCGAGUGAAGCGGGAAGAGCUCAAAUUUGAAAUCUGGUAGCCUUCGGUUGCCCGAGUUGUAAUCUAGAGAAAUGUUUUCCGUGCCGGCCCAUGUACAAGUCCCUUGGAACAGGGCGUCAUAGAGGGUGAGAAUCCCGUCCUUGACAUGGACCCCCGGUGCUUUGUGAUACAUUUUCAACGAGUCGAGUUGUUUGGGAAUGCAGCUCAAAAUGGGUGGUGAAUUCCAUCUAAAGCUAAAUAUUGGCGAGAGACCGAUAGCGAACAAGUACCGUGAGGGAAAGAUGAAAAGCACUUUGGAAAGAGAGUUAAACAGUACGUGAAAUUGUUGAAAGGGAAACGAUUGAAGUCAGUCAUGCUCUUUGGUAUUUAUAUCAUUGAGUGGGGUCAACAUCAGUUUUGAUCGAUGGAUAAAGGCACUAGGAAUGUAGCACUCUCGGGUGAACUUAUAGCCUAGCGUCAUAUACAUUGAUUGGGACUGAGGAACGCAGCAUGCCUUUAUGGCCGGGAUUCGUCCACGUACAUGCGUAGGAUGUU